GGUGAGGUAACGGCCCACCAAGCCUACGACGGGUAGCCGGCCUGAGAGGGUGACCGGCCACACUGGGACUGAGACACGGCCCAGACUCCUACGGGAGGCAGCAGUGGGGAAUAUUGCACAAUGGGCGCAAGCCUGAUGCAGCAACGCCGCGUGAGGGAUGACGGCCUUCGGGUUGUAAACCUCUUUUAGUAGGGAAGAAGCGAAAGUGACGGUACCUGCAGAAAAAGCACCGGCUAACUACGUGCCAGCAGCCGCGGUAAUACGUAGGGUGCGAGCGUUGUCCGGAAUUAUUGGGCGUAAAGAGCUCGUAGGCGGUCUGUCGCGUCUGCUGUGAAAACCCGAGGCUCAACCUCGGGCCUGCAGUGGGUACGGGCAGACUAGAGUGCGAUAGGGGAGAAUGGAAUUCCUGGUGUAGCGGUGGNAUGCNCAGAUAUCAGGAGGAACACCGAUGGCGAAGGCAGUUCUCUGGGCCGUAACUGACGCUGAGGAGCGAAAGCGUGGGGA
This 504-nucleotide ribosomal RNA is filed under the name actinobacterium KV-405. RNAcentral's name for it is "bacterial SSU rRNA". It matches the Rfam family "Bacterial small subunit ribosomal RNA", at positions 251 to 767 of the family's 1533-position model. The record is from RNAcentral. Lineage: Bacteria; Bacillati; Actinomycetota; Actinomycetes.